Gavialis gangeticus (Gharial) is the source of this 609-nucleotide long non-coding RNA. RefSeq lists it as uncharacterized. The transcript is spliced from 3 exons. Lineage: Eukaryota; Metazoa; Chordata; Crocodylia; Gavialidae. The record is from RefSeq and is a predicted model, not a curated record.
AGCCGCAGCAGGCACCUCGUGCCCUGACAUCCCGCAUUGCGCAUGCGCAACACGGCUCCUGAUGCUGCCCCCUCCAGACCCUUGUGCCCUAGCAGCCCGCAUUGCGCAUGCGCACCACCGCUACUGACGCCCUCCCCCAGGCCACGCCUCCAACGGCCGCCCGGCCCCGCCCCUAACGGCCGCCCCGCGCAACUCGCGCUCCAGAGGCGGCGCCCAAGGCCGCGGCCCCAGCCUCUCUGCUGUUGAGCCUCACAGUGUCUCAUGGAUUGAUGAGUCCACUCCGAGAUAUCAACAGCACUUCCCAGGUGGUGGUUGUAAUGCAAGGUGAAGAGUGUUCUGCAAGUGGCUCCUUUUACUUAGAAGAUGGACCGUGAGAGCCAAGGUUUGACCCCUACUGCCACAGCCAGCACAACUGAGUCAGUGCCGGAGAGGAAGUGAGCUGCACCAGGAAACGUUCCCUGGAACUUGGAGGAAGCAGGGACCAAAGUGAGACUCUGUUAAAUUCCUGUUCUUCCCCUGGGGUAAUGUCUCUGUGUGCUGCCCUGACCCUGGGCUGUUAAUAAGAUGCUAACCGGCAUAUUACUAAAUCACACAAUGCUCGAAAUCCCA